This 498-nucleotide ribosomal RNA is filed under the name uncultured bacterium. RNAcentral describes it as "bacterial SSU rRNA". It matches the Rfam family "Bacterial small subunit ribosomal RNA", at positions 791 to 1289 of the family's 1533-position model. The record is from RNAcentral.
UAGUCCAUGCCGUAAACGAUGUGUGUUAGACGUUGGAAAAUUUAUUUUCAGUGUCGCAGCGAAAGCGAUAAACACACCGCCUGUGGGGUACGACCGCAAGGUUAAAACUCAAAUGAAUUGACGGGGACCCGCACAAGUAGUGGAGCAUGUGGUUUAAUUCGAAGAUACGCGCAGAACCUUACCAACACUUGACAUGUUCGUCGCGACUCUAAGAGAUUAGAGUUUUCGGUUCGGCCGGACGAAACACAGGUGCUGCAUGGCUGUCGUCAGCUCGUGUCGUGAGAUGUUGGGUUAAGUCCCGCAACGAGCGCAACCCUCACUUUUAGUUGCCAUCAUUUAGUUGGGCACUCUGAAAGAACUGCCAGUGAUAAGCUGGAGGAAGGUGGGGAUGACGUCAAGUCCUCAUGGCCCUUACGUGUUGGGCUACACACGUGCUACAAUGGCAUCUACAAUAGGAAGCAAGAUGGCGACAUCAAGCAAAUCCUAAAAAGAUGCCUC